AGAGGAAGUAAAAGUCGUAACAAGGUCUCCGUUGGUGAACCAGCGGAGGGAUCAUUACCGAGUUUACAACUCCCAAACCCCUGUGAACAUACCUUAAUGUUGCCUCGGCGGAUCAGCCCGCUCCCCGUAAAACGGGACGGCCCGCCAGAGGACCCAAACUCUAAUGUUUCUUAUUGUAACUUCUGAGUAAAACAAACAAAUAAAUCAAAACUUUCAACAACGGAUCUCUUGGUUCUGGCAUCGAUGAAGAACGCAGCAAAAUGCGAUAAGUAAUGUGAAUUGCAGAAUUCAGUGAAUCAUCGAAUCUUUGAACGCACAUUGCGCCCGCUGGUAUUCCGGCGGGCAUGCCUGUUCGAGCGUCAUUUCAACCCUCAAGCCCCCGGGUUUGGUGUUGGGGAUCGGCUCUGCCUCACGGCGGUGCCGCCCCCGAAAUACAUUGGCGGUCUCGCUGCAGCCUCCAUUGCGUAGUAGCUAACACCUCGCAACUGGAACGCGGCGCGGCCAUGCCGUAAAACCCCAA
This 520-nucleotide ribosomal RNA is filed under the name Fusarium lateritium. Its description in RNAcentral is "eukaryotic LSU rRNA". The stretch from base 209 to 362 matches the Rfam family "5.8S ribosomal RNA". Lineage: Eukaryota; Fungi; Ascomycota; Sordariomycetes; Hypocreales; Nectriaceae. The record is from RNAcentral.